Molecule: long non-coding RNA, 2157 nt
Filed under: Salmo salar (Atlantic salmon)
Lineage: Eukaryota; Metazoa; Chordata; Actinopteri; Salmoniformes; Salmonidae
Description: lncRNA (ENSSSAG00000100894.1)
Source: RNAcentral
CCUAUCUGAGUGAUGUUAUUUCUCGCCUGAAUGAUCUCAAUCUAGGAUUACAGGGACUCUCCGCAACUAUAUUCAAUGAUUAAGAAGUUGGAGCUCUUCUCUGUCUGCAUUAACAAGGACAACACACAGGUCUUUCCAUCACUGUAUGAUUUUUUUGUGUGGAAAUGAACUCAAGCUUACAAUAUAGCGAAGCACCUGAGUGAGUUGGGUGCGCAAUUACACAGGUACUUUCCCGAAACCAAUGACACAAACAACUGGAUUCAUUAUCCGUUUCAUGCCCUGCCUCCAGUCCCCUUACCGUUAUCUGAACAAGCACAGACUGUGUGUGGAAAAUGAUUUAAGACUGAGACUCUCUCCAAUACAACCCGACAUUGCAGAGUUAUGUGCAUCCUUUCAAGCACACCCUUCUCAUUAACCUGUGUGCAGGCAUACCCUGGCCGACCUUGGACUUGGGAGGUUUUUGAUACGGAGCUAUUUACCGACAGAUUAUGGGGAUAGUCGGCCUUCACCCCUGUCUCCAGCCUGAUGGACAACCUGACCUCUCAGUGGAUCCCUGAUCUCACCUCCUUGAUCUCAGCCUUCACAGUCAAACGCUCCUCUGCUUACUGAUAUCUGUGUUAUGUGAGGACUCUCAGGAUGACUGUUAGGUACCAUUGUUUUUUUAGCGCAUCACUAUUAAUCAAACCUAUGGAUGGGAGGGUUGACCUGAACCUUGCAGCGUGGCAGGACAAGUAACCUGAAGUCAUAUUACCUCCACCAUCUCUAACCAACUGAAAACACACACAUGCACUGAGAUGAUCAUGAACUGGUCUCUAGGAGAUACUGGUGAACAACUGGAAUGUUUUUUCUUCUAGGCUCCCUGCUCAGUUCCUCCAAAUCUAAAGAGAUCAUUUUACUUAACAGUGAUGAUGGCUGGUCAGAACUCAGAUCUAAGGAGGCUCUCCAAUAUCUUAGUUGGCUGAAUGUAGGUUCGAUCAAACGUGUGCUAUGGAUGUAUAUUUAGAUUUGACCUAGCUAUCUCAAAGUGAGUGACUUUUAAAGAUUAUAAGAUGAAAUGGGGAAUAAACCAAACCAAGACAAUGAUACUGACCGUAGGCUACACUCUUACAAAAAAAAGGUUCUGUCUAGAACCUAAAACAGUUCUUCAGCUGUUCCCAAAGGAGAACCCUUUGAAUGACUAUUUUUGGUUGCAGGUAGAACCCUUUUUGUUCCAGGUAGAACCCUUUUGGCUUUCAUGUAAAACCCUUUCCACAGAGGUUUCUACAUGGAACCCAAAAGAGUUCUACCUGUAACCAAAAAGGAACCAAUAGGGUUCUCCUAGGGUUCUCCUAUGGGGACAGCUGAAAACCCCUUUUGGAACCCUUUUUCUAAGAGUGUAGUUAACAGUUGGAAACUUAGCUAUGCUUUCUCAAACAAUUGUGACUUGCUGUGUGGCUGAUAAAAUGUGCAAUGAUGAUUGGGUUACAGCUCCCCCUUCCACCCUCUAGAGAACCUGUAUCCUGUGACUCACACUCUUACUUACCCCCUGGGUUUACCCCCAUAGGGGCCCGAUCCCUUUUGGUAGUUCCAGUUUGGACUUAAUCACCCCUGAGUGUGCCCUUGGGACCUAUUUAGAACAUGUCGCCUACACUCUGAAGGUAACGUUUCUUUGGCACCUCUCUGCCCCAAGUGUUAAAAGAGUGCAUCUUCAAAAUGGGAGUUGCCAUAUGUACCGGGCUGGCGGUUUCAAAUGGGCUUUCCAUCAAGUGCCAGUGUAUUUUACUCCUCUUACAGCCAGGGCACACUCAGAACCAAGGACAGGUCCUCUGUUGAAAGCUCUGCCAUCUUUGGGGAAGUGUUUUAGUGGGUUUGGAGGUUGAGAGGACUUGGAGGAAUGUUCUGGCUGGGGAAAGUCUGGUAAAUUAGACUGAAGGCGGGGUAAUAUCACAGACCUAGGAGCACUUAAAGAAAGAGAGGAUGAUCUGAUGGGCCAUGUGUUGGGGGUUGGGCGGAUGCUGAAGGUAACAGGGUUCAUGGAUUCAUCUGGUGUAGAGGUAAUCUGGUAUAUACAUACAUACUUGAAAAUAAAAGUGCUUCUUCAAAGCUUAUCAAUAAUGCUAAUGAUCUAAUUUCAAUAUGUACUGGAUGAGAAUUAAUCAGGCAUUCAGUCAUGUGGAC